Molecule: RNA transcript, 3905 nt
Organism: Mus musculus (house mouse)
Lineage: Eukaryota; Metazoa; Chordata; Mammalia; Rodentia; Muridae
Gene: Cnot10
Gene name: CCR4-NOT transcription complex, subunit 10
Exons: 19
Source: RefSeq, marked validated
CCCGCCCCGGAAGUAGCGUCUCCCUUGGCCGCUACGGGACGGAAGCUGUGGAUGGCGGGGAAAACAGCCCUGCACCGGCGGAUGUGUUGGCGCUGUUGCUAGACGACGAGCAGUAACUUCGUCACUUCCUCAGCCCGUGGCCCGCCCAGGACCUUAGCCGAGGCGACUGGAGCGGGCUUGAGCUGAAGAGUUGUCCCCCGCCGGUAGGACUCACCACCAGCCCGGCGGCGGGAGUCGGGGCCACGCCACCUACAGGGAGGAACUCGAGCCGAGGCGGGAAGAUGGCUGCAGACAAGCCUGCAGAUCAGGGAGCAGAGAAGCAUGAAGGGGCAGGCCAAUCAUCUGGGGUCACGGACCAGGAGAAGGAGCUGUCCGCCAGUGCCCUCCAGGCCUUCACGUCUGGAAAUUAUGAUGCCUGUCUGCAACACCUUGCCUGUCUCCAAGAUAUAAACAAAGAUGAUUACAAAAUUAUUCUGAAUACAGCAGUAGCUGAAUUUUUUAAAAAUAAUCAAACAACAACAGAUAAUUUGAGACAAACACUUAACCAGCUGAAGAAUCAGGUCCACUCGGCUGUUGAAGAGAUGGAUGGGUUAGACGAUGUUGAGAACAGCAUGCUGUAUUAUAACCAGGCUGUCAUUCUCUAUCAUCUGCGCCAGUACACGGAGGCCAUAUCUGUCGGCGAGAAGCUCUAUCAGUUCAUAGAACCUUUCGAAGAAAAAUUUGCCCAAGCGGUGUGCUUUUUGCUCGUAGACUUGUAUAUAUUAACCCACCAGGCUGAGAAAGCUCUGCAUCUUCUUGCCGUCCUAGAAAAAAUGAUUUCACAGGGUAGCGGUGGCAAAAAUGGGAAGAACGAGACUGGCAAUAACAGCAGCAAAGAUGGAUCCAACCCUAAGGCUGAGAGUGCAGCUCUAAUAGAGGCUGCCAAGUCCAAGAUACACCAGUACAAAGUCAGAGGGUACAUCCAGAUGAAGUCCCUGAAGGCUUGCAAAAGGGAAAUCAAGUCUGUCAUGAACACAGCUGGAAAUUCUGCACCUUCCCUGUUUCUUAAAAGCAACUUUGAGUACUUAAGGGGCAACUAUCGAAAAGCGGUGAAGCUGUUGAAUAGUUCAAACAUUGCCGAGCAUCCAGGCUUCAUGAAGACAGGUGAAUGCUUGAGAUGCAUGUUCUGGAAUAACCUUGGUUGUAUCCAUUUUGCCAUGAGCAAGCACAAUUUGGGGAUUUUCUACUUCAAGAAGGCUCUGCAGGAAAAUGACAACGUCUGCGCCCAGCUCAGUGCGGGUGGCACUGAUCCAGGCAAAAAGUUUUCUGGAAGACCCAUGUGUACAUUGCUGACCAACAAAAGAUAUGAGCUGCUCUACAACUGUGGGAUCCAGCUGCUGCACGUCGGGAGGCCUCUCGCUGCCUUCGAGUGUCUGAUUGAAGCUGUUCAGGUGUACCACGCGAAUCCUCGUCUCUGGCUACGGCUGGCUGAGUGCUGCAUUGCUGCCAAUAAAGGGACUUCUGAGCAAGAAACUAAAGGUCUUCCCACCAAAAAAGGCAUUGUACAGUCUAUUGUUGGUCAGGGAUAUCACCGUAAAAUAGUUCUGGCAUCACAGUCAAUUCAGAACACUGUCUACAAUGAUGGUCAGUCUUCAGCCAUUCCUGUAGCCAGUGUGGAGUUUGCAGCCAUCUGUCUCAGAAAUGCCUUGUUGCUGUUACCUGAAGAACAGCAAGAUCCCAAGCAGGAAAAUGGCUCCAAGAGCAGCAGCCAGCUUGGAGGGAACACGGAAAGCAGCGAGAGCAGCGAGACGUGCAGCAGUAAGAGCCAUGAUGGAGAUAAGUUCAUUCCCGCUCCACCGUCUUCUCCGCUGAGGAAACAGGAGUUAGAAAACCUCAAGUGCUCCAUCCUUGCUUGCAGUGCUUAUGUGGCUCUGGCCUUAGGUGAUAACCUCAUGGCUUUGAACCAUGCAGAUCAGCUCCUGCAGCAGCCCAAGCUGUCUGGCUCUCUUAAAUUUUUGGGCCAUUUAUAUGCCGCAGAAGCCCUCAUCUCCCUCGACAGGAUAUCUGAUGCCAUUACACACUUGAACCCAGAGAAUGUCACUGAUGUCUCCUUAGGGAUCUCUUCAAAUGAGCAGGACCAAGGUUAAUGAGGACACAUUGAUGAGAACUGGUCUCUGUUGCCACUCCCGAGCUGUGUAAUUCAGGACUUGUAGGACCGGAGGGUGUAGCUGUGAAGGGAAGGAAGUGAAGCUGGCUCUCCGCGCUUACAGCUGGUCUUACUGUGUAGUAAUUGUUGGCUACAGAAGGCUGGGCACUGCCUGUCUCAUGGCCUAAGUUCUCACUCAGAGGCUGAGAUGUCAGGAUUCUUCCCUUCCAUUCCCUCCUCCCUUCUUCCUUCCUUCUUCCUCCUUACCUUACCCUUCCUUCCAUCCGUCCGUCCUUCCUUCCUUCCUUUCUUCUUUCCUUUCUUCUUUCUUCCUUGCACCCCACACACAACUCCUUCCCCUCCCUCCCUUGCUCCCAGUUUUUUGUUUUUUUUGUUUUUUUGUUUUUUUAAAGAGAUGUAAUCUCACUGUUUGCCCAGGCAGGCUUCAAACUCCUGGGCUCAUGCCAUCCUCUGACCUGGCUGGACCUUUUGAGUGCUAGGAUUGCAGAUAUUUGUGCCAGCUCACGAGCUUAAGAUUUAUUUUGGUUUGGUUCUGACACUUUUUUUCUAUGAACUGAUUCCACUGUGCAAGAGGGAAUGGAGACAUGGUUUUCAAACAAUUUUCAGUAAUUUUUAAGUAUCUGAAAAUCACCCAUGUGAAUCAGACAUGGGUGAUUCCAUGUGGUCCCCUCUUGAUGACUAACUCACUCAGGUGGGGUGGCAGUGAGGUUGCAUCCUGAUACCUUUAGCAGAGCCUCCACAACUCCAAAAGCAAACACUUGCUCUUGUUAAGUUCCUACUUGGUAAGAGACUUAGGUGUUAGAAGAUGUGCUGUUGUCCUGCCUCAGAUCUAUUUUCAUGUAUUUGUAGGAUCAGACAAGGGUGAAAAUGAAGCAAUGGAAUCCUGUAAGUAAGAAGUUUUGUAAAUCCUUAAGUAGCCUGGCCUGCAUCCCAAAGACUUAGACCCUGCAUCUCUGUGUCCUGCGUGUAUCUGUCAGCCUGAGGAGUAGUGCUUUGUCCCAAGUGCUCAGCGUGGAGCGGUGCUCUCUGUCCUCUGCACAGCCCCUUCAUCCGUAUCUACGCUCUCUCCUCAGCUGGCAAGCGCGCCCCUCAGUGCUACCCCAGUUCUGUGAACUCUGCCCGGACUGUGAUGCUCUUCAACCUGGGCAGUGCCUACUGCCUGAGGAGCGAGUACGACAAGGCCCGAAAGUGUCUGCAUCAGGGAGACUGUCACUGAGACUGAUCCAACUCCCAGGAGACAUGGCAGCUUCCAUACACUGCUCAUACAGGCGGCAUCGAUGAUCCAUCCUAAGGAGGUGCCCCCUGAAGCCAUCCUGCUGGCUGUCUACCUUGAGCUGCAGAAUGGUAAUACACAGCUGGCCUUGCAGAUGAUCAAGCGGAACCAGCUGCUCCCCGCAGUAAAGGCGCACUCUGAUGUGAGGAAGAAGACAGUGUUCCAGCCCGUGCACCCCAUCCAGCCCAUCCAAAUGCCAGCGUUCACCACCGUGCAGAGGAAGUGAGAGCUUGCCUCGGGAGGCCAGGGGAACAUUGUGGCAGGAAGACGGAAGUAGUGCUGGAGAGGAGACUGGAGAGAAACACUGGGCCUGUCCCUGUGAUGCACUUCUGCCAGCAAGGCCACGCCUCCCAGUCCCUGAAGUGUCACUCCCUGAAGAUGAAGCAUUCAAAUAUGAGUCGAUGAGAGCCAUUCUUGUUCACGUCGCCAUAGUUAUGGAGGUUGGACCCAGCACUCAAGACUGUUAUAAAGAAUUUUUGCUUUGGU